Pelobates cultripes (western spadefoot toad) is the source of this 1403-nucleotide non-coding RNA. NCBI's taxonomy places the organism in Eukaryota, Metazoa, Chordata, Amphibia, Anura, Pelobatidae. The record is from the annotation of a GenBank genome assembly.
UAUAUAUAUAUAUAUAUAUAUAUAUAUAUAUCCCCUUAAUGACCGUGGACGUACUAGGUACGUCUGACAAAAAACAGUUGUUAAGGACCACGGAUGUACCUAGUAUGUCCACAGCAAAUAGGAGCACUGGACUUACCUGGACUGGCCACCCCGGUCCAUGUGAUCGCCGCAAUAGGACUCUAGGAGAUGCCAGCAUGGGGACUGUCUGAGCUGUCAGGCAGUCCCCCAGUCUGCUAAAAAGUAAAAAAUAAAAUAAAAUAAAAAAUGUAUUUAUACACCAGAGCAGGGAAUCUCUCAAAUCUAUGUUCGGACAUCCAGCGUCACCCAAAACCCUAUAGGAAAGCAUUAUAUAAUGCUUUCCUAUGGGGGAAGUCCUAAUGCGAGCAUGGCAGAGCAGCGGAGGCAGAGCCCAAACCAGCACUGAGGGACAUCGGCGCUUGAAUAUGACAAGUGACAGAGGGGGUUUUUAUCCCCUUCUGCACAAUGAGGGGAGAGGGGGCCUGUGGACGUUGUUUUCCUGGCACUAUAGUUUUUCCUUUAACUUGCAUUUUAAUACAUUUCUUUUAUCCACAUGUGCACUGCUGUAUGGAUUUCAAACUGAUUGCAAAGGAUAUCACACUAGAAGUAGAGGAUGCUGGGGAUUUGCUGUAAUGAAGGAUAUGAAAAACAAUUUAUGUUGCAUUUUUUUAUGCACUAUCUAUAUAAAACUUAGAGAUUUGAGGUAAUCCACCCAGGAGUGUGUCUUUUAAUAUUCCAGCUUCCUGCUGGACAACUCAACAAACUCAGUACUCCUUCCUUAAUAAAACUUGGUAAAUAUUUUAAAGCAAAGCCAGCAUUGUCUGAUUGUCAUUCGAAAAAAAAUUAAAAUUCUUACACUGCCACAAUGAGCAAGAAUAAUUGUAAUAUACAAGGUGUCUACAUAAAGCUAAAGCAAAAUGUAAAGAAUGUAUGAAAGGGUUUGAACCAAAUUAAUAGAUUUAUUUUCAAAUAUUACAUUUAGGAAUCUACCACAUGCAUAUAAUGAAUUUUGCAUGAACAUGGUAAGUCCUGUCAAAAUGAUCAUGAUAAAACAAAGUUUAACUGUGAUUAAGAAAGGAACAAAUAGAACAGUGAUUCAAUAUGUACUUGUGUCCAAGACUUUCUUUAGGUUCAUCAAAACAAUUAGAAUACACAUUCAAGUUAAAAAUAAACGUAUAAGCACAUUAUAUCUGAAUGGCAAAAAAUUGUUAUUGAUAGCCAAACUGUGAAUAGAAUGGAGUUGGGUAAUAUUAACAAAAACAGACAUUUUGAAAUUCUGAUUUAGGCCCCAAUUUAAUAUUUUUAGAUACAAUUUUCAAAUAUUUUAAGAUAAACAUUUAAAAUGGUUUUAUAUUUUGAAAACUAUUGUAAUAUUUUAAAAUAUU